This 431-nucleotide ribosomal RNA is filed under the name uncultured bacterium. RNAcentral describes it as "bacterial SSU rRNA". It matches the Rfam family "Bacterial small subunit ribosomal RNA", at positions 29 to 506 of the family's 1533-position model. The record is from RNAcentral.
GUGAACGCUGGCGGUGCGCCUAACACAUGCAAGUCGAACGGGUUUAGACCCGUGGCAGACGGCUGCGUAACACGUUGGUACGUCCCCCGAACUCAGGCAUAUCCCCGCGAAAGCGGGAGUAAUACCGGAUGAUCCCGCAAGGGUAAAGAUUUUUCGGUUCGGGAGCGGCCUGCGGCCUAUCAGGUUGUUGGUAAGGUAACGGCUUACCAAGCCUAUGACGGGUAGCUGAUCUGAGAGGAUGAUCAGCCAGAAUGGAACUGAGACACGGUCCAUACUCCUACGGGAGGCAGCAGUGAGGAAUCUUCCGCAAUGGGCGAAAGCCUGACGGAGCGACACCGCGUGAAGGAUGAAGCCCUUUUUGGGCGUAAACUUCUGUUGUGAGGGACGAAAUUUUUGACGGUACCUCACGAGAAAGCAUCGGCUAACCCUGU